This 1013-nucleotide long non-coding RNA is filed under the name Homo sapiens (human). RNAcentral's name for it is "HSALNT0269603". The record is from RNAcentral. Lineage: Eukaryota; Metazoa; Chordata; Mammalia; Primates; Hominidae.
UGGCACACAGUGACUGCCCUGGCUUUCUUUGCUUUGCCUCCUGUCUGUGUUUGAAAUCCCGAAAUCACCGCCUUGAGCUCUGAAGCCCAGCGGCUCCGAGGCUGCAAGCCUCUCCGCUGGCCCCAGAUGUGCAGCAUGCAGCUUGAAUCUCUGAGGACUCUGGUGGUGGAUGCCAACUCCAACUCACAGUGGGAAUCUGGCCCACAGGACCCAGCCUGCCACCCUCCAGGGAGCCGUGGAGAUUUCAGGAUUUCUCCUCUGCGAAAUGGGGAUAACAGCUCCCUCUUCAUCCGGUUAUGGUCAGGGGUAAGUGCGUUGAUGUAGGUUGAAUGCUUGGGCAGAGUAGUGCUUUUUUGUUGUUGACGGCGCAUAUAUUGAGAGCAAAGCACACAAAUCCAAAGUCGAUUGUUUGAUGACUUUUCACGUUGAAUAUACCUGGAUCACCACCUCCCGGAUCAAGAUUGAGAGCAUUCCCGUCACUCCAGAAAGUUUCCGGUUACCGCCCACCUUGUUUCCAGUUACUGCCCACCUCAUUUCUAGUUACUGCCCCCCUCAUUUCUAGUUACUGCCCGCCUGCGUCCCUGCAGAAGAGAUAACCACGAUUCUGACUUCUUUGACGGUAGAUUUCUUUAGUUCAUGCUUGACUUUCUAUUGUUUUAUUUUUAUUUUUGUAUUUUUAGAGACAGGGUCUCACUUUGUCACCCAGGCUGGAGUGCAAUGGUGUGAUCAUGGCUUACUUCAGCCUCCAUCUCCCCUGGGCUCAAGUGAUCCUCCCACCCCAGCCUCUCAAGUAGCUGGGACUACAGGUGCGUGCCACCACGCCCAACUAAUUUUUUAAUUUUUUGUAGAGACGAGGUCUUGCUAUGUUGCCCAGGCUGGUCUUGAACUCCUGGGUUCAAGCUCCCACCAUGUCCUUCCAAAGUGCCGGGAUUAUAGGCAUGAAUCAAGGCACCUAGGCUUGAUGUUCUGUAAACAGAAUCCUGCGGUAUGUAUUCUUUUGGGUCUGACUUCUU